Molecule: ribosomal RNA, 494 nt
Filed under: uncultured bacterium
Lineage: Bacteria
Description: partial 16S ribosomal RNA
Rfam family: Bacterial small subunit ribosomal RNA
Source: RNAcentral
GACGAACGCUGGCGGCGUGCUUAACGCAUGCAAGUCGAACGGAAAGGCCUGCUUUCCCUUGUGGAUUGCGGGUACUCGAGUGGCGAACGGGUGAGUAACACGUGAGUGAUCUGCCCCCAACUUGGGUAUAAGCCUGGGAAACUGGGUCUAAUUCCCGAUAGGACUGCAGGGUGGUGCCUGUGGUGGAACACGAUUUUCUAGUGGUUGGGGAUGAGCUCGCGGCCUAUCAGCUUGUUGGUGGGGUAAUGGCCUACCAAGGCGGCGACGGGUAGCCGGCCUGGGAGGGUGGACGGGCACAUUGGGACUGAGAUACGGCCCAGACUCCUACGGGAGGCAGCAGUGGGGAAUAUUGCACAAUGGGCGGAAGCCUGAGGCAGCGACGCCGCGUGGGGGAUGACGGCCUUCGGGUUGUAAACUCCUUUCGACCGCGAGGAAGCCACCUGGUUGGAAGGGUGGUGACGGUAGUGGUAGAAGAAGCACCGGCUAACUACGUG